GGGGAAUCUUCCGCAAUGGGCGAAAGCCUGACGGAGCAACGCCGCGUGAGUGAAGAAGGUUUUCGGAUCGUAAAACUCUGUUGUUAGAGAAGAACAAGGAUGAGAAGAGAAUGUUCAUCCCUUGACGGUAUCUAACCAGAAAGCCACGGCUAACUACGUGCCAGCAGCCGCGGUAAUACGUAGGUGGCAAGCGUUGUCCGGAUUUAUUGGGCGUAAAGCGAGCGCAGGCGGUUCUUUAAGUCUGAUGUGAAAGCCCCCGGCUUAACCGGGGAGGGUCAUUGGAAACUGGGGAACUUGAGUGCAGAAGAGGAGAGUGGAAUUCCAUGUGUAGCGGUGAAAUGCGUAGAUAUAUGGAGGAACACCAGUGGCGAAGGCGGCUCUCUGGUCUGUAACUGACGCUGAGGCUCGAAAGCGUGGGGAGCAAAC
RNAcentral lists this ribosomal RNA (426 nucleotides) under uncultured bacterium. RNAcentral's name for it is "bacterial SSU rRNA". It matches the Rfam family "Bacterial small subunit ribosomal RNA", at positions 356 to 773 of the family's 1533-position model. The record is from RNAcentral.